Molecule: long non-coding RNA, 1173 nt
Organism: Canis lupus familiaris (dog)
Lineage: Eukaryota; Metazoa; Chordata; Mammalia; Carnivora; Canidae
Exons: 3
Source: RefSeq, a predicted model, not a curated record
GUCGGUCCGCACGCAGGCGGCCGAUUGCGUCACCGCGUACCUAGAGGAUCCAGUUCUGCCCAGAAGCCAGACCUAACUCUAAUUGGAGAUCUGCACUCCCAGGCAGUGGGAACCAGGAAAAGCACAUUUAUUCAUAGGGAGCUUCAAACGGGGAGCAACCCAAAUGCAACGGAUAAACUGUGGUAUGCCCUGGGAACACCACUCGGCAAGAAAAAGGGACGAACUACUGAUAAUCAUAACAUACAUGGAUCCCAGAUGCAUUACACUAAGUGAAAGCAGACGGACCUAAGGGCCACGCACUCUAUGAUUCUAUUUAUAUGAUAUUCUGGAAAAGACAAGACUAGGCAGAUGGCAAACAGGUCAGUCUUCGUCAGUGGUUAUUAAUCAGGGAAGGGUUUAAUUCCAAAGGGACUAUAGAAUUUGAUAUUUUGGGGGCAAAGGCUGAUGAAGUUAUUUAUCUUGAUUAUUGUAAUGCCUUCCUAUUGCUGCUGUAACAAAUUACUCACACAUUUGUGGCUAGCACCCCCCACCCUCACCUCAUCUCAGCCUCCCCUGUCAACCUAUUACUCUUGUGGUAUUGGUCAUACAACUCUCGCUGCACUUUUUUCAAAAGUCACAGAGCUUCACACCAACAGUGAAUUUGGCUGUAUGUAAAUGUUAAAACUGGGUCUAGAAAACGGGGAACCAGCAGAGGAGACUGAGAAGAAAUUACCAGGAAGGUGAGAAGGAGCCAAACGUUCGUGGUGCCCUGGAAGCCAGGUAAAGAAAGUGCAUUAGGGAGGGCAUGAACUCGGAUGUGAUUGCUGAGAUCCAGCAUGGGGAGGGGUGCGUACUGAGCAACAUGGAAGCCUCCAGUCAACUACUUGACAGCAGGAGUUUCUGGGGAGCAGUGGAAGCAAAAGCCAGAGAGGUGUGUGGGUUCAAGAGAGAACUGAAGAAAUAAAGACAGUUAACAAAGACCAGUGCCACUCAAGUAGCCAGUCCUUGAACCAUUACCGGAGAGUUACUGGUCCUGUAGGAGAUCAGGAGAACACACAGGGUUUAAACUAACAACCUGGACACCUGGGGGGCUCAGGGGUUGAGCAUCUGCCUUCCGCUCAGGGGGUGACCCCAGGGUCCUGGGGUGGAGCCUCAUGUCCCUCCAGCUCUCUGCUCAGUGCGGAGUCUGCUUCU